This 1655-nucleotide long non-coding RNA is filed under the name Homo sapiens (human). RNAcentral describes it as "non-protein coding SOCS2-AS1:14". The record is from RNAcentral. Lineage: Eukaryota; Metazoa; Chordata; Mammalia; Primates; Hominidae.
AAUUUGGGAACGAGAUGCCCGGGGAUGCAACCAGCCCCGCGCUCGGAGGCGGCGGUCGGAGUUCCGUGCGCAGAGGGCACACAAAAGCCUCGAGGAUCAUUGCCUCGACCCCAUCCCCCACCGCGCGGCGACGCCCCCUACGGGCUGGGACACCUCCACUCUCGGACUGCUGCCGGGUUUCCCUCCGGCUGCGACCCUGGAGAGUUUGCCAUCUCCGUACCACCACCACCACCACACACAGCACCCUCAAGACUCCCUGUGAUCCUGGGAUGCACUCAACGAAGAGUGUGUGGCCCAGGAUUUGAUGGAAAUGCUACAAGAGAAGCAGGCUCUCCCCUUCUGAAAUGAUGAGUGAUAAUGACCAUACAGGUCAACUUUUCCACCACUUGGAGGGAGCCUGUCAAAGAACAAAGGCAACAGAGAAGAGAGCAGAGCUGAGGUUGGGUGAGAGGGAGAAAUUCCUGAGUGCUUGAAUCCCACAUGCCGGAAGCCGCACCACACUUGGACUUCUCAAUACAGGAGCCACUGAGAAACCAAGUCAUGCUGAAGACCUGGAAAUCCCAGCAGGCUGCAAACCAGCUGCAACUACAAUGGGUCAGCCCUUUUGAGAUGCUGCUGACUACCCACUUAUCUGCCAAGUUAGCCAGUGUUAAGCCAUGGAUUCACCACGCUCAGAUAAAACCUGCCCCUCUGGGAUCCCUCCAGAAAAAAACAGGCAUGCUGUUGUGAACCCUAAGAUGGCCUUAAGUUAAUAUUCAAUGCCCAGCCAAAGACCCUAAAUAAGAAGUCAUAAAGGAAACAUGUGCUUUUCAGGUACCAAUCACCCUCCAGAUCUAAGAAUGGCUUCAGGCUGGGGCUGCAGUCACCUCUUUGCCCAGCUUCUCCCCUGCCCUAUUCUGCUUCACUUGCAUCCUUAAAGGUUCCACCCAAGAGCUCUUCUACAAGAAAGCACCUAUAAAGCCAGACACAUUGGCUUAUGCCUAUAAUCCUAGCACUUUGGGAGGCCAAGGUAGGAGGAUGGCUUGAGGCCAGGAGUUCAAGACCAGCCUGGGCAACUUAGUGAGGCCCCGUCUCUAUAAAAAAUAAAAAAAUUAACCAGGUGUGGUGGUGCACGUCUCUAGUCUCAGCUACUCAGGAGGCUGUGGCAGGAAGAUGGCUUGAGCCCAGGAGGUUGAGGCUGCAGUGAACUAAGAUCAUGCCACUGCACCCAUCUUGGGCAACAGAAUGAGAUCCUGUCUCUAAAAAAAUAAAAACAAUUUACAACAGUAAGCACCUGUACACAAGCCCCAUCUCCAGUCCUGUUUCUAGGGCUUCCAAUUUAACACACCUAGAGGCUGGGCAUAGUAGCUCAUGCCUGUAAUCCCAAUACUUUGGGAGGCUGAGGCAAGUGAAGCACUUGAGGUCAGGAGUUCGAGACCAGCCUGGCCAACAUGGCAAAACCCCAUCUCUACUAAAAAUGCAAACAUUAGCUGGGCAUGGUGGCACAUGCCUGUAAUCCCAGCUACUCGGGAGGCUGAGACAGGAGAAUCACUUGAACCCAGGAGGUGGAGGUUACAGUGAGCCAAGAUCACACCACUGUACCACAGCCUGAGCAACGAAAGAAGACUCUGUCUAAAAAAAGUAAAAAAUAAAAUAAAACACACCUGGAGCUUUCU